RNAcentral lists this ribosomal RNA (440 nucleotides) under uncultured bacterium. RNAcentral describes it as "partial 16S ribosomal RNA". It matches the Rfam family "Bacterial small subunit ribosomal RNA", at positions 338 to 795 of the family's 1533-position model. The record is from RNAcentral.
CCUACGGGAGGCAGCAGUGGGGAAUAUUGCACAAUGGGGGAAACGCUGAUGCAGCAACGCCGCGUGAGUGAAGAAGUAUUUCGGUAUGUAAAGCUCUAUCAGCAGGGAAGAAAAUGACAGUACCUGACUAAGAAGCCCCGGCUAACUACGUGCCAGCAGCCGCGGUAAUACGUAGGGGGCAAGCGUUAUCCGGAUUUACUGGGUGUAAAGGGAGCGUAGACGGCUGCGCAAGUCAGAAGUGAAAGCCCGGGGCUCAACCGCGGGACUGCUUUUGAAACUGUGUAGCUAGAGUGCAGGAGAGGUAAGUGGAAUUCCUAGUGUAGCGGUGAAAUGCGUAGAUAUUAGGAGGAACACCAGUGGCGAAGGCGACGAUCUGGCCUGCAACUGACGCUCAGUCCCGAAAGCGUGGGGAGCAAAUAGGAUUAGAUACCCGAGUAGUC